RNAcentral lists this ribosomal RNA (404 nucleotides) under bacterium. RNAcentral describes it as "partial 16S ribosomal RNA". It matches the Rfam family "Bacterial small subunit ribosomal RNA", at positions 355 to 776 of the family's 1533-position model. RNAcentral also lists the same sequence under 1 other name. The record is from RNAcentral.
UGGGGAAUCUUAGACAAUGGGGGAAACCCUGAUCUAGCCAUGCCGCGUGAGCGAUGAAGGCCUUAGGGUUGUAAAGCUCUUUCACCGGGGAAGAUAAUGACGGUACCCGGAGAAGAAGCCCCGGCUAACUCCGUGCCAGCAGCCGCGGUAAUACGGAGGGGGCUAGCGUUGUUCGGAAUUACUGGGCGUAAAGCGCACGUAGGCGGAUUGGAAAGUCAGAGGUGAAAUCCCAGGGCUCAACCCUGGAACUGCCUUUGAAACUCCCAGUCUUGAGGUCGAGAGAGGUGAGUGGAAUUCCGAGUGUAGAGGUGAAAUUCGUAGAUAUUCGGAGGAACACCAGUGGCGAAGGCGGCUCACUGGCUCGAUACUGACGCUGAGGUGCGAAAGCGUGGGGAGCAAACAGG